UAUGAGUUAGGGAUUGCAGCGACAUCCUUUUGCUUUUUCGGCAAAAGAUAUAGCGGAAAGCCCGCCCACGC
This 71-nucleotide small RNA is filed under the name Bizionia argentinensis JUB59. Its description in RNAcentral is "Flavo-1 RNA". It matches the Rfam family "Flavo-1 RNA". Lineage: Bacteria; Pseudomonadati; Bacteroidota; Flavobacteriia; Flavobacteriales; Flavobacteriaceae. The record is from Rfam by way of RNAcentral.